ACAGCAGUAGCCGCGGGAAUACGUAGGUGGCAAGCGUUGUCCGGAAUUAUUGGGCGUAAAGGGCUCGCAGGCGGUUUCUUAAGUCUGAUGUGAAAGCCCCCGGCUCAACCGGGGAGGGUCAUUGGAAACUGGGAAACUUGAGUGCAGAAGAGGAGAGUGGAAUUCCACGUGGAGCGGUGAAAUGCGUUGAGAUCGGAAAGAACACCAACGGCGAAAGCACUCUGCUGGGCCGACACUGACACUGAGAGACGAAAGCUAGGGGAGCAAAUGGGAUUAGAUACCCCUGUAGUCCCUGUCUCUUAUAC
RNAcentral lists this ribosomal RNA (305 nucleotides) under uncultured bacterium. RNAcentral's name for it is "partial 16S ribosomal RNA". It matches the Rfam family "Bacterial small subunit ribosomal RNA", at positions 506 to 807 of the family's 1533-position model. The record is from RNAcentral.